Zalophus californianus (California sea lion) is the source of this 4718-nucleotide long non-coding RNA. RefSeq lists it as uncharacterized. The transcript has 4 exons. Lineage: Eukaryota; Metazoa; Chordata; Mammalia; Carnivora; Otariidae. The record is from RefSeq and is a predicted model, not a curated record.
UCAGACAGCGUGAGAUGGAUUCCAAGCGUCAGAGGGCAUGCAGUGAGCAUGAGCCUAACAAAUACUAAGGACUUUAAAGGCAAGAAUUUGUAGCUUUCAGCCGGAAACAGUGGGACAGGAAAAGAAAUGGGAGGCCAUGUUGACGUUAUCUACAAUUCUACAAUAAUGCGUGAGUCGUGCUCAUGAUCUAGAACGGGACCAUAAAGACACAGCCACCUGACACUCCCUAAGAAGACCACCUGUAAGGAUGAUAGGACCGAUAGGAGAGCUGAUCUAAAACGACCACCAGAAAUCAGAGGCUGACAGGAGUUCUGAUGGCCCAGAUCAUGGAAAAUACAGCUGAAUAUUCCAGAGGAAAAGUUGAGAAACUCAGGAAGGCCCCCAUGAUAGAAGGAGAUGGGUUUGAAUACCUGCCAAGAACAUGAAGCCAGAUCCACAUGGCCACGUAGAAACAGAACGUGGAGACUCCGCCAGCAUCAAUGUUUGAAGGUUGCAGAAAAGGCAGUGGGAGCUAUAGUAGUUAAGAGCCUGGCCUCGGAGCUGUGCUGCCUGGGUGUCAAUCCUGACUCUCUUCCCUCCUAGCUGGAGCACAUUGUCUCUUCUUAACAGGAAGCUAAUCAAAUCUCUCUAAGCUGAUGUUUAACCUCGACUGCAGACACAUCAGGUGACCUGUGCCAAGGAGUGGGGAAAUCCACACUACACUUGCUUUGAGAGGAAAACAUCACCAAGACCAUGUUUAAGGGCUUGUUGUGCUGAACUCUUGGUUGUGGAGGAUUGGAUCUUCUUUGGCACUCUUCAACUGCUCUUUAUUCGACUUCUUGGUGUUCGUAAGAGAAUCUGCUGAAUGAGAAGGAUGGCACUCAUAGUUGAAGGAGACCAUACCGCAAGCAAAAUGGCAGUAACUCAGGAAGGUAGCCAAUGGGAAGAGGCAGUGUUUUUUCAAAUACAAAAUGCCAUUUUAUAUAUAUGUGUGUGUGUGUGUGUGUGUGUGUGUGUGUGUGUGUGUGUGUGUAUAUAUAUGUAUGGUAUAUAUAUGUAUGGUGUGUAUAUAUAUAUGGUAUAUAAUGUACAUACAAUAUGUAUAUUGUAUUUAUAAUGUAUAUUAAUGAUAUAAUUAUUAUGUGAUAUAUUAAUCUCCAUAAUUUUACCCACCCUACCUUCUAUCUAUUACCUCUUUUUAGAGCUGACUCACUGAUCUUUAUGUCCAUAUUUGCACAUUUAGUUUUCAUGUUGCUCUUCAAAUAAUUACAAUAGCUAUUAUUUAUUAUUAUUAUUAGCAAUAUUCUUAUAUACUAUUAUAUUACCCUUCAAGGAUAGUUUUGAUAUUUAUUUUGAUCUGUAUUUACUGUUCUAUAAAUAUAAUGAGGAGAUGAUAGGAGGAGGAAGAUAGAACACACUCAGAUUUUCUCUACCUCUCAUGUCCCCUAAGUAUAGCCCUGAUAUAACCAGUCCUUUGGUCUAUUUCACCAUGCCACAUUACCCUAACGUGAAAUGUCACAGUCCCCUCUGCAGAUUUUUCCCCCUGGAGGAAGACACAAUCCUUUAAUGAAUCUUGGAUUUUCUUCAUCCAGUUUCCCAUCAGUGACAUCGACCCCAGAAUCCCAGCCUGUAAUAUGUCUGUCUACUCAGUUGCAGGAGAUGCUCUCCACGUCCACUGCUCAAUUUUGCAAGGCGUCCUGUGAACUACCAUCAGCUUUUACUUCUUAAAAGUCAACUUAGUAAAUCUUAUGCUUCCAGAAUCAUUUGUGGGAUAGAGCUAGAGAAAGAAAGCAGUUCUGUGCAGGGGAUAUUUACAAUUAACAGCCAUGGCCUUGAUGGGAAUUGCUGUCACUUUCAGCUGAGCCAUAAGUAGCCAACAGCUUACAUGGCCAAUGCAGAGCAUCCUCUUUUGCUUUGGAACAUUCCAACCCACGGCUUCCCACUUCAGCACAUGCUGGGAGGCUGAGAUAUUUAAGCAGAUGACAGGAAAGUGAUAAAGACAGAAAGAAGAACUUAGAACAAAUCGUGUAAAUAAACCUGUAUUUCCCUCCCAUCUUCCCUUCUUUUCUUCCUUCUGUCCAAAUUUCCUUCCUUCCUUCCUAAUUCUUCCUUCUUAUCUUUUAAAUCAAAAGAUUGUAUUUUCAAAGUCCAGUAAAAUAAAACAGACAUAAACAUAUUUUCAAAAGCAGAAUUCUGGCCAUCUAUUAGAAAUCUCUACCUUGUCUGUGCUAUAAUGGAGAAAAAGGGUACAUGAAGGAAGAUGCACAAUAUCAUGUGUUUCAAGGAGCAGCCUAAAAAUUAGUGUUUUGAAUGAACUUCUUAUUUGGUCAAUGACUUCUUGCCACCAACUUCUUCAAGACCCACAUGUUCAUCUGCAUGACAAGAGAAAGAGAAGAGACUUGGAAAUCACCAGGGAAUAAGAAUUUUGUGAGCAUUCUCCCAGCAUAAUAACCUCUAUGACAUUCAAACCACAAUGUGCUAACCCUUACCUAUAAUGUCCAAGUUUCUGGCCUCUGUGUGUUUUAUAACCAAUACCUGGAAUUGUCUUUCUGCCUUCUCUCCACCCCCAUCGAUCCAUCAACUGUACAGCUCAUCUCCAAACUUAUUUCCAUGUUUCAAUUUAGAUGUUUUCUCCAUUUUAGUUCUUCACAUGUUUGAAUUGUUCUUGUUUCCCGUUUCUAUAUCUCUUUUGGUAGGAUAGUUGCUGAAACUUACUGGAAUGUUGUUUUGUAAUGGUGUUAAAUUAAUCCUGAAUUUGUGGUUUGUUUAUAGUAUAAAAUGUAAUGUCCUUAAGUUUAAAAGAAUUUAUUCUACUUUUUUUUUUCUAUGCAUACUCCCUGCAAAGCAUGGAGUACAAUGCUGGGCACUAGAUAAAAAGUGGUAAAUAACCAUUGUUCAUUAGGAAAUGUAAGAUACAUGGCACCAGCAUCCAUCUUCUGUCACAUUACCGUUAAUCUCAGUUAUAAUACUAGGAAAAAGCAGGGAAUAGGAAUUCAAUUUUAUAGCUGAAAGUAAGAUGUUGUUUUGUUAGACGUGCAAAAAGCUCAUUUCUGAAACAAAGCAAAAUAAAGCAAAGCAAAACAAGACUAUUGCUAUCCACCAGUCACCUGCCCUUUAUGAAACAUUUGAUAUUUGUGGCCCCUAGAAUUCAAUUCUAAAGCAAUAUAGAAAAUAAGUGAUCAGGAUCCCACCAACUUUAGUAAAGUGCAAGUUGUGAAUUCCAGAGUAGAAGUUUGGAGCCCAUAAAAAACCAUAGAUAUUUCACCUUUCCAUUUCAAGGAUCUUCAGACUCUACCCAUUAGUUUUUGCCACUCUGCUUUUAAAUAUGUAUAGGCUUCUCCAAUAUAGAAAAAGAAAAAUACCUUGAGUCCUUGUAUUGGUCAGCUUGGGCUGCAAUAACAAAAUGCCAUAGACUCAAUGCUUAAACAAAGGAAUUUAUUUCUCUUAGUUCCUGGGGCUGGGAAGUUCAAGAUCAAGGUGCCGACUGAUUUGAUUUCCCAGUGAGGGCUCUAUUCCUGGCUUCCAGAUGUCUGCCUUCUUGCCAUGCCCUUAUAUGGAGAAGAGAGAGAGAGAAAGGAAGCUAGCUAGCUCUCUGGAGUCUCUUCUUAUAAGAACACUAAUUUCUUAUUAGAAAGCUCCACCCUCAUGACCUCAUCUAAACCUAAUGACCUCCCUAAGGCCCGAUUUCCAAAUACCACCACAUUGGGGGUGAGGGCUUUAACAUACGAAUUCUGGGUGAAAGGACACAAUUCAGUCCAUUGCAGCCCUGUUACUCUAUUAAAUAACACAUUCUUCAGUGUAGAAAUCCCUGGUGAAGGCUGACACCAAUAUAGUGCUUGUUGUGUGCCAGUGAUCACUGCAAGUCCUCCACACAUGUACCUCCUUUAAGAUCCACAGCAACUGUUUGAGGUAGUUACUAUGAUCUUGCCCAUUUUGUGGAGGUGGAAAUUUAUGAAUAGAAAAGAUUAGCAACUUUCCUUGGGGUCAUAUAGUCAGCAAGUGACAAAGCCAAGUUUCAAGCUCAGCCACAUUGUCUCCAAAAUCUUCAGAGCUCUAAAAUCCCCAUCUUAAAGGGAUAGGUACACAUCUCUUCUUCAUAACCUUCAACACUAUGUUAGGACUUCACAAUUAGAGGUGCAGUUGCUUUGAAAAACAGUCUGAUAGUUCCUCAAAUGAUUAAACAUAAAGUUAUUGUAUGACCCAGCAAUUUCACUCCUAGAUAUAUACCCAAGAGAAUGACAACAUAUGUUCACACCAAAACUUGUACAUGGAUGUUUAUGGCAGCAUUAUUCAUAAUAGUCAAAAGACUGAAAAAAAUCCAAAUGUCCAUUAACUAAUGAAUGGAUAUUAAAAUGUGGUUUAUUUAUCCAUACAGUGGAAUAUUAUUCAGCUAUGGAAAAGAACACAGUACUGAUACAUGACAAAACAUGGAUGAAUCCUAAAAACAUUAAGCUAAUUGAGAGAAGCCAGCCACAAAAGACCACAUAUUACAUGUAUCUAUUCAUAUGAAAUAUUCAGAACAGGGAAAUCUACAGAAACACUAAGUGGAUCAAUGGCUGCCUAGGAUGAGAAGAGGGGGGUGAACAUUUAGGGGAAUGAUAGCUAAAACAUAUGGAAUUUCUUUUUAGGGUGAUGAAAAUGUUCUAAAAUUGACUGUGGUAAUAGUUGCACAUAUCUGUGAAUAUACUAAAAGGCAUUGAAUUGUAAACUUUAAAUGGGUGAAUUGUAUGAUAUGUGAA